CCUUGAUUUAAGGUGUAGCCUGCCCCAUGAUAAAUGGCCGCGGUACUCUGACCGUGCUAAGGUAGCAUAAUCAAUUGACUUUUAAAUGAAGUCUGGAAUGAAUGGCUGGGGGUAAGCUGUCUCUAUCCCAAUAUAUUGAAGUUACUUUUUAGGUGAAAAAGCCUAAUGUCAGCAAAAAGACGAGAAGACCCUAGGAGUUUAAUUUUGUUGGGGCGACAAGGGACUCCUUUUAAAAACUAGCUAACACGUCGAAGAUUUAAGAAAGGGUAAACUACCCUAGGGAUAACAGCAUUAUUUAAGUUUGUGACCUCGAUGUUGGACUAGGGUAGGCGUAGGCGAGUUGCUUACGUUGUAGGUUCUGUUCGAACUUUGACCC
This 376-nucleotide ribosomal RNA is filed under the name Pupa solidula. RNAcentral's name for it is "partial large subunit ribosomal RNA". It matches the Rfam family "Bacterial large subunit ribosomal RNA", at positions 1840 to 2596 of the family's 2925-position model. Lineage: Eukaryota; Metazoa; Mollusca; Gastropoda; Acteonidae. The record is from RNAcentral.